RNAcentral lists this ribosomal RNA (505 nucleotides) under uncultured bacterium. RNAcentral's name for it is "partial 16S ribosomal RNA". It matches the Rfam family "Bacterial small subunit ribosomal RNA", at positions 28 to 507 of the family's 1533-position model. The record is from RNAcentral.
GACGAACGCUGGCGGCGUGCCUAAUACAUGCAAGUAGAACGCACAGUUUAUACCGUAGCUUGCUACACCAUAGACUGUGAGUUGCGAACGGGUGAGUAACGCGUAGGUAACCUGCCUGGUAGCGGGGGAUAACUAUUGGAAACGAUAGCUAAUACCGCAUAAUAUUAAUUAUUGCAUGAUAAUUAAUUGAAAGGUGCAAUUGCACCACUACAAGAUGGACCUGCGUUGUAUUAGCUAGUAGGUGAGGUAACGGCUCACCUAGGCGACGAUACAUAGCCGACCUGAGAGGGUGAUCGGCCACACUGGGACUGAGACACGGCCCAGACUCCUACGGGAGGCAGCAGUAGGGAAUCUUCGGCAAUGGACGAAAGUCUGACCGAGCAACGCCGCGUGAGUGAAGAAGGUUUUCGGAUCGUAAAGCUCUGUUGUAAGAGAAGAACGGGUGUGAGAGUGGAAAGUUCACACUGUGACGGUAGCUUACCAGAAAGGGACGGCUAACUACGUG